Molecule: long non-coding RNA, 2048 nt
Organism: Cucumis melo (muskmelon)
Lineage: Eukaryota; Viridiplantae; Streptophyta; Magnoliopsida; Cucurbitales; Cucurbitaceae
Exons: 3
Source: RefSeq, a predicted model, not a curated record
CGGGAUUGGGAUUGCUAUGGAAAUUUUAUUUGAGGCCCAAUAGUGGCCCAUAGCGGGAAAUUAGAGAGAAAUUCACUGGCGGAGUACUGCACCAGGUCGCUGCUCCACCGUCGGAACCUCCGUCUCCGUCGUCGACACUCUCUUCUGAUGUGGAAGCUCAUCUUCUGUCCUCCGGUCCUCGCGCCGUUCAAAUUCAACGUUACUAUGCGAAGAGUGGGUGCAGAGACUAGCAAAUCAAAGUUCGUCACAGGUCAGCAGGAUGUUAUUAUGAAAUUAUGAGUUUUAGAGUGUAGUGAAAUUGCUAUGGCUUCUUCCACGGACGAAUGUGUAUUUGUAGAGGUAGCAAUAAGAGGAAGAAGGGUCAAAAUUGAAUCCCUGAUCUGUGUAAACUGCAUCAUGGAGCUCUCAGUGAAACUUUGCCAUCUUCACUAUUUUAGCUACACUGGGAAAUGACGGUUAGGGAGGUGUCCUCUCAAUAUGAAACAUUUAUGUUUUCUUAUGUUUAAGAUUUUCCUAUAUAAACUGAUUUGUCAAGAUGAAUAAUAGGUUGGUGCUCUAUUAUAAGAUCAAAGAAUUAAAUGUGUUGCUUGGCACUUGAUAUAUUUUUAUUUCUGUGCUGUUAAUGAUAUCAUACCUCACCAGUGUUCAAAGAAUUAUGAAAUUUAUUUACCACUCGAGAUUAAUAAUUGUCCUUGUUCUAGAGUUCUGCCUUACAGUAAGGAAUAAGCUGUAAUCUCAGGUAAGGUCAGUAAAUAACUUAUAAGCUUUUUUACUAUACCGUCAGUUACUUCUAUGUGUAUAAGGAGAAGAACAUGUUGACGGGUUUUGAAUUCAAGAGGCAUAUAAUCGCUAUUGAUUUUAUGUGCACGAAUGGCGUAAUAAAUUGACUAGAGAAAAGAACAUUUAAAGUCGUCUGAACUCUCUUUCACUUGUACGGACAGUUAUAUGAUAUGAUGUUAAAAUUUACUUCACCCUUUAGUUUAAGCUUUUGUCCCUCCAAUUAAUAUUGAAUUUCAUUUUUUAGGUCUUUGUUAGGAACCAAGAUAGCAUGGAUGCUUUUGUCCCACGUUGAUUAGAACCUAACGGUAUUCCUCAUAUUUCAACUCACUCAAAAGUGAGGGGAGUGUUAGAUGAUGUCAUAUUAAACUUGCCUUCACUCAUUAAGUUUUUAAGUUAAUCGGUGAUUUAAGAUCAUUCUUAAAAUUUUGAUGGGCUAAAUUCUUGGUCUCGGAGUGCCAGAUGUCUGAGUUGAAUAGCUGAUUUCUUGAAACAUGUCCUGAAAAAUGUUCUAUCUCACAAAUCAUACCGGGCUGAUCAAAUAAUUAUUGUUAUAUCACUGUUUUAGUGCACUUUUCAAGUGUUGCAAUUAAUAGUUAAAAGCGUUACACCGUUCUUCCAUGUAGUUAUCAAUGUGAUCAGCUACUGCUCGUGCCUAAUUUAUGGAUGUCCAUCUCCUUGCAGUGUAGAAAUAAAAAGUUAAAUCAGUUGAUGUUGGAAGAAUUUAUUGGAGCUAAGCAUCCAGAUACCUAAGAAGAACCUGGUUUACAUCCCAAUAUAUAGUUGUGGGUGUGAAACCGACCAUUUGAAAGACAAGUGCCAUUGAAGAGUUAGAGAAAAGGUUGAAGAAAAGCAAGGGCAUCCCCUGCAGAUAGCAGUUUUGUGAUAUUUUGUCAACAGUCAACAAAGACCGAUAAAGUGAACUUUUUCUUCUUUCUGAAGAAAGUAUUAUAUAAAAGUGAGAUUGAAAGUGAGCUAUCCAGGAUAAACAGAAAAGACAUGGAGCUCGUCCAAGAAAGAAAGCAAAUCUGAUUAACUUCAGAAGACGCUUGACGAGCAAUGUGAUGAGCAUUGAGGUUGCUCAACCUUGGACAAUUGGUGAACGUUUGAAAUCUUCAUAAGAUCACUUGACACGUUUAAGCAAAUAAAUCCUUGUGGAUAAGAGUUAAGUGACUCAACUGAUCCUUUUGCUUUAUUCUUGUAGAAAGGAAUAUCAUUGCUUUAUCUCCAUGAAUAUACACACAAUAAUUGUAAAUAUCAUUGCCCAAGCA